Molecule: ribosomal RNA, 478 nt
Filed under: uncultured bacterium
Lineage: Bacteria
Description: bacterial SSU rRNA
Rfam family: Bacterial small subunit ribosomal RNA
Source: RNAcentral
GACGAACGCUGGCGGCGUGCCUAACACAUGCAAGUCAACUUGACUGAAGGAGCAAUCUGACAGUAGAGUGGCGCAAGGGUGCGUAACGCGUAAGUAACUUGCCCCAAGGUAAGGAAUAACGUCGAGAAAUCGGCGCUAAUACCUCAUAAUGCAGCGGAUCCGCAUGGAUAUGUUGUUAAAGGUUUACCGCCUUGGGAUAGGCUUGCGUCUGAUUAGCUAGUUGGUGUGGUAACGGCACACCAAGGCUACGAUCAGUAACUGGUCUGAGAGGAUGAUCAGUCACGCUGGAACUGAGACACGGUCCAGACUCCUACGGGAGGCAGCAGUGAGGAAUAUUGGGCAAUGCUCGAAAGAGUGACCCAGCAACGCCGCGUGGAGGAUGAAGGUAUUCUAUAUCGUAAACUCCUAGUGAGAGCAGACGAAAGACAGAUUAUUAAUCUGGAUGACUGUAUGCUCAGAGGAAGCCCCGGCUAACUAC